This is a non-coding RNA of Gossypium raimondii (Peruvian cotton), 107 nucleotides long. The record is from Rfam. NCBI's taxonomy places the organism in Eukaryota, Viridiplantae, Streptophyta, Magnoliopsida, Malvales, Malvaceae.
AGACCUUAGUGAGGGCAUAUUUAUAUCAGCGAAUUGAAUCACUCCCAAGCUUUGUGAAAGCUUUCUCCUUCGAAUUGCUUAAACAUGGAAAUCUCUCUUCUCAGUUA